GUCGUGUUAAUUUCUUCUCUAAGCCCAAAAUUCUGUGUGUUUGAGCAAAACCCAAUGUAGAUAAUCACGACGUCCAUUUCCUCGAUGAAGCCGUCUGCGAUUUAACUUCCUGUAACGCCUUAGGUUUCCAUUGAUUUGCUCUUUUAAUCCGAGCAUUAACAUUCUUCAUCCCAGUCGCCUAACUGAUCUGUAGCAUUGAAUCAUUGAAUCGAGCUCAGUCUCUUCAUACGUAAUGAGAGGAAGGUCUCCUAUAGAUUUCAGAUUUGCAUGCUUGCAUAGAUGACUCAUCAACAGAGAUAGUCGCUGAUACCGCUACCGGAGAAGAGAUCAACAGCUCAGACGAGAAGAAGAUGAUCAGAAUGUAUGAGCCUGUUUGAACUGGGUACCAUUCUACGGUGUGACAUCGAUCUGUGGAAGACGACCGGAGUGGAAGAUGUUGUCUCCACGAUACCCAGUUUUCCAAAGCUUGCUUUUGGAAAGAGUUGUGAGGUACCUUCUCUUGAAGCCAGAUUUUCGUGGAGUGAAUUCAAAGGCAGAAUGGAUUGGAACUCAGAAAUGCAGCUUGUGAAAAAUAACAAGAAGAGAUUCAAUCAACCAAGGAUUUAAUCUCUAGGCUUGGUGCUACUGCAAAUUUUGGCUCUGCUACUACUGCAGAAAAGAAACUUGAGAAGCUCUACGAACAGAAGCUCAUAGAGAAGCUAUUUCAGCCGGAAGCAGAUGAACAUUCGGUUUAGGAUGGAACCAGUGGAAGAUCAGAAGUCACGGUUAAAAAUGUUGAUUUUGGUUUCAAAGAUAAGGACUUACAAGUUACGAUCAGAGCUUCCUAUGGGAAAGUUGGGCAUGGUUAAAACGUAGUGAGAAAGAGCUUGCUCAAUAUACCCAGCAUUUUAAGAGUUUUAAAGAAGACCUUUCUGAAUAUGUUUCUUCUUUUUGUUUGAAAAGGGUUUCUAUAUUGGUUUUAGAGAUUAUUGAUCAACUUUUGGUUGUUUAAGAAAUCUUCUUAAGGAUCCGCGAUAUAUACUUUCAUUCAA
Raphanus sativus (radish) is the source of this 1031-nucleotide long non-coding RNA. RefSeq lists it as uncharacterized. NCBI's taxonomy places the organism in Eukaryota, Viridiplantae, Streptophyta, Magnoliopsida, Brassicales, Brassicaceae. The transcript has 3 exons. The record is from RefSeq and is a predicted model, not a curated record.